CCCCCAGACUCCUACGGGAGGCAGCAGUGAGGAAUAUUGGUCAAUGGGCGAGAGCCUGAACCAGCCAAGUCGCGUGAGGGAAGACGGUCCUAUGGAUUGUAAACCUCUUUUGCCGGGGAGCAAAAAGCGGUACGUGUACCGCAUCGAGAGUACCCGGAGAAAAAGCAUCGGCUAACUCCGUGCCAGCAGCCGCGGUAAUACGGAGGAUGCGAGCGUUAUCCGGAUUUAUUGGGUUUAAAGGGUGCGCAGGCGGCCUGUUAAGUCAGCGGUAAAAGCCCGGGGCUCAACCCCGGUCCGCCGUUGAAACUGGCAGUCUCGAGUUGGAGAGAAGUAUGCGGAAUGCGCGGUGUAGCGGUGAAAUGCAUAGAUAUCGCGCAGAACUCCGAUUGCGAAGGCAGCAUGCCGGCUCCACACUGACGCUGAGGCACGAAAGCGUGGGUAUCGAACAGGAUUAGAUACCCCAGUA
RNAcentral lists this ribosomal RNA (466 nucleotides) under uncultured bacterium. RNAcentral describes it as "bacterial SSU rRNA". It matches the Rfam family "Bacterial small subunit ribosomal RNA", at positions 328 to 792 of the family's 1533-position model. The record is from RNAcentral.